Trichoplusia ni (cabbage looper) is the source of this 73-nucleotide non-coding RNA. The record is from the annotation of a RefSeq genome assembly. NCBI's taxonomy places the organism in Eukaryota, Metazoa, Arthropoda, Insecta, Lepidoptera, Noctuidae.
GGCUCGUUAGCUCAGCGGUCAGAGCGCCCAUUUAUGAUAGAGGUGGUCGAAGGUUCGAAUCCUUCACGAGCCG